This 589-nucleotide long non-coding RNA is filed under the name Brassica rapa (field mustard). Its description in RNAcentral is "long non-coding RNA (BRAP_LNC007049)". The record is from RNAcentral. Lineage: Eukaryota; Viridiplantae; Streptophyta; Magnoliopsida; Brassicales; Brassicaceae.
AAAUAGGUUUACUCCAAAUAUAGAGUAAUUUGUUUUUUUUUGUUCAUCACUUUUUUUUCUACUCUAAAAUAGAGUAUUAUUGGAGCAAAUUUAAACUCUAUUAUAAAAUUAUUGUAUUUUAAAAAAUAGAGUAAGCCAUUGGAGAUGGUCUAAGAAAAAACAAGAACAUAGACAUUGAGACUUGAGAGUCCCGUCAACCAACGCAUAAACUCUGAGAUCCGUCUCUGUUCGAGAGAUGAGAUCAUUGUAACAUGUGUUUGGUUCACAAAUUCAAAGAUAGAUCUUGAAAGUGGGCCCCGAAAAGUUUGCAUUGACGCGGCCUACAAUGACGUAAUUGCACACAACACACUUUCAGCACCCAAAACUCUUUUGUCAUUUUUAGGAUAUACUUUUGUCAUAUUUGUACCCUUUAUAUCUUAAAGCUCUAUAUAGGAAGAUUGAAAAAAAACUCCAAAAUGGGAAGAAACGAGUCUCAAUAGUGGUUGUGGUAAUACAGGCUGUUUUUUCUUAAAUUAAGACAUGGUUUUAUGUAAAGUUGUUUGAUGGAUGUAUUAUUCUAGUAAUUGCAAAAUUAUAAGAGUUAGCCUGG